Molecule: non-coding RNA, 210 nt
Organism: Paenibacillus sp. oral taxon 786
Lineage: Bacteria; Bacillati; Bacillota; Bacilli; Caryophanales; Paenibacillaceae
Source: Rfam
GUACAAUUUGUGCCCGUAGGUCCUGGAGCAACGGUGAAGCAUGCCGUACCGCUUCGGGUUAAAAGGGAAGCCGGUGCAAAUCCGGCACGGUCCCGCCACUGUAAACAGGGACGAGCUCAUGAUGCCACUGUCGCCCGCGAAGGGAGAUGGGAAGGCGAGUUUUCGUCGAGACCUGGAAGUCAGGAGACCUGCCACGGGAAUUCAAGACGG